AUUGAACGCUGGCGGCAUGCCUUACACAUGCAAGUCGAACGGCAGCACGGGGGCAACCCUGGUGGCGAGUGGCGAACGGGUGAGUAACAUAUCGGAACAUACCCUAGAGUGUGGGAUAACGUAGCGAAAGUUACGCUAAUACCGCAUACGAUCUAAGGAUGAAAGUGGGGGAUCUUCGGACCUCAUGCUCAUGGAGUGGCCGAUAUCUGAUUAGCUAGUUGGUGAGGUAAAGGCUCACCAAGGCGACGAUCAGUAGCUGGUUUGAGAGAACGACCAGCCACACUGGAACUGAGACACGGUCCAGACUCCUACGGGAGGCAGCAGUGGGGAAUUUUGGACAAUGGGGGCGAACCCUGAUCCAGCAAUGCCGCGUGAGUGAAGAAGGCCU
RNAcentral lists this ribosomal RNA (388 nucleotides) under uncultured bacterium. RNAcentral describes it as "bacterial SSU rRNA". It matches the Rfam family "Bacterial small subunit ribosomal RNA", at positions 30 to 417 of the family's 1533-position model. The record is from RNAcentral.